CCUACGGGAGGCAGCAGUGAGGAAUAUUGGUCAAUGGGCGGAAGCCUGAACCAGCCAAGUCGCGUGAAGGAUGACAGCCCUAUGGGUUUUAAACUUCUUUUGUAAGGGAAUAAAGCGCGCUACGUGUGUCGUUUUGUAUGUACCUUGAAUAAGCAUCGGCUAAUUCCGUGCGAGCAGCCCCGGUAAUACGGAGGAUGCGAGGGUUAUCAGGAUGUAUUGGGUUUAAAGGGGGCGUAGGAGGUUCCAUAAGUCAUCGGGAAAAUCGUGGGCUUAAACCGUGCGGUGCCGUUGAAACUGUGGGACUUGAGUAUGCGAAGGGUACAUGGAAUUUGUGGUGUAGCGGUGAAAUGCUUAGAGAUCACGAAGAACUCCGAUCGCGAAGGCAUUGUACCGGAGCAAGACUGACGCUGAGGCUCGAAAGUGCGGGUAUCAAACAGGAUUAGAUACCCCGGUAGUC
This 457-nucleotide ribosomal RNA is filed under the name uncultured bacterium. RNAcentral's name for it is "partial 16S ribosomal RNA". It matches the Rfam family "Bacterial small subunit ribosomal RNA", at positions 338 to 795 of the family's 1533-position model. The record is from RNAcentral.